UACGUAGGGUGCGAGCGUUAAUCGGAAUUACUGGGCGUAAAGCGUGCGCAGGCGGCUUGCCAAGUCAGAUGUGAAAGCCCCGGGCUCAACCCGGGAACGGCGUUUGAAACUGGCAGGCUAGAGUUUGGCAGAGGGGGGUGGAAUUCCACGUGUAGCAGUGAAAUGCGUAGAGAUGUGGAGGAACACCGAUGGCGAGGGCAGCCCCCUGGGCCAAAACUGACGCUCAGGCACGAAAGCGUGGGGAGCAAACAGG
RNAcentral lists this ribosomal RNA (253 nucleotides) under uncultured bacterium. RNAcentral's name for it is "partial 16S ribosomal RNA". It matches the Rfam family "Bacterial small subunit ribosomal RNA", at positions 524 to 776 of the family's 1533-position model. The record is from RNAcentral.